This is a non-coding RNA of Candidatus Kaiserbacteria bacterium, 71 nucleotides long. The record is from Rfam. Lineage: Bacteria; Candidatus Kaiseribacteriota.
CGGGCCGUAGUAUAUCGGCAGUACGUAUGCAUGGGGUGCAUAAAGGCCGGGUCCGAUUCCCGGCGGCCCGA